Rosa rugosa (rugosa rose) is the source of this 3479-nucleotide long non-coding RNA. RefSeq lists it as uncharacterized. The transcript has 4 exons. The record is from RefSeq and is a predicted model, not a curated record. Lineage: Eukaryota; Viridiplantae; Streptophyta; Magnoliopsida; Rosales; Rosaceae.
GAGAGAGAGAGAGAGAGAGAGAGAGAGAGACACAGUAGCUAAUAUACAAAUCCUCGAAAUCGAUAAGAAAGGAGAGAGAGAGAGAGAGAGAGAGAGAGAGAGAGAGAGAGAGAGAGAGAGAGAGAGAGAGAGAGAGAGAGAGAGAGAGAGAAAGAGAGAAAGAAAGAAAGAAAGAAAGAAAGAAAGAGACGGAUGGGUUGUGAUAUGAUGUUAGUGGUUGGUGGAAUAAUUUUAAGGAAAUAAGUUUUCAGUUGGCUCCGGAAAUAUUUUAAGUCAAGGCUUGACCAGGACUCUUGUUAUUUUGGGUGGAAGGUAUUGUAGCCUGUUUUUAAGUGACGUACUUCAGUGAUCAUUACUUUGAGGAAAUUGGAUCAUUAUUGUGGUGGGACCACGUUCGGAUCCGGAUAUUGUUUGGUGUGAUACAAAAUGUUGGACGGGUGUCCUUUGAUUUAUGUUAAGGAUUGUCCAGGAAAGAUCUUGUGAAUUGUGCUAGCUACCUCGGGGAAUUGGUUAUUGCUUGAAUUGAAUACAUGUAAUGGAUUUUCUUUGAAGGAAUUGAGCGAGUUUUGCCACCCUGGUGGCCCUCAAUUGGAAAUGUAUCGGAAGUUGUUGGUACGAGUGAAAUCCGGUCACCACUUGUCUAACGGUAUGACGACUUGAACAGGAAGUAAGAGUUGAGUUGGAAUUAAUUGAUUGGGUUUAUGUUCUAUCAGGGUUUUAAUAGAUAUUUAAGUACUAAUUGUUGAGACACUAUGGUUGAGUUAUGUUAUUGGAUAAAUUCUUAGUGUGGGGAUUUGGAAAAGUUUUUGGUACAAUUUUGGUUAGCACAGGAAAGUUAUAGGGAUCCUUGUUGUAGCUGAAAUCUUAUAAGUUAAGUGUCGAUCGCGGAGCGGAUUUGCGGCUAUUUUAUCCUCUUUUCGGUAAGGACAAUCGUCGUUUAUUAGUAUUGGCCUUAAGUUAAAUAAGAAGUGUUGGCUAUAUUCUAGUACUUGCAAGUUCAACGUUGUUUGACAUGACUGAUUUCAAGUGUUGAAUUUCUUUUCUAGUUGGUCAACUUUGGAUCAGAUUUGGAGUAAUUUCUAGUGUUGUUGGUUACAUCAUAGUCCAUUAGAGGAUUUGACACAUACAGAAUUUAGAACUUUUCUAUAAUGUCGUACCUGUAAUAGAAUUGUCAGGUGGUGAUGUCGGACAGAUGGUUGGAAAUGUUCUACUUGGGGUUGGUGGAGCAGUUGGGAAAGAGAGUUUUCCUAGUUAUCUAAGGAAGCUAUUUUAUUUAAGUUUGAUCAGAAUUCCAGUCAAGUAUCUAAUAAUACGGAUAGUAGUGUUUUCGGUGGUGAGAAUUACAUUGGCAUAUGAAGUAGAAUUAUCAUUUGUGGCAUUGGAGGCCAGCGAGAACGACGUGGAUUCAACUAGAGAUUAGACCUAUGACUAUUAAAGAAGUGUAGCAUCAGCUAAGAACAGUUUUAGUGUGAUGCAUCUCCUCCUGGAUUUGAGUCUUUGGGCUGGAGUGGAGUGAGUAGUUACGGUUCUUGCUUUGUACCGGGUUUCGAACGACGUGGUACUCAUUGCGUACCAUUAAAUAAACACUAACAUGUAAGGAAUUUUAGCAGUUUUGAUUAGAGACGUUGGUAAUUAGUAGAUUCCUUGAAACACAUUUGAUCUAAAAGAGUUUUCCACUACAUUACAAUUAUAGAAAGUUUUCGAGGGAUUACGCUAGUUAGCCAGUUUGAGAUAUUAAGUGUGGCCAGCAGGGUAACUAUCAAAUGAGUUUUCCUUGUUGACUUGGAAUGUCAUUUCAAGGCGUGAUCAAUGUUCCUGUUAGUUAUCAGAGUAGCGCAGAGGAAGUGUAGUGACCCCAUAACCUAUAUGAUUAAGAACUUAUGGGUUUGUUUGGGACUACCCUUUGUUAUGCUUGACAACUGUGAGACCUUUACGUGAAUGACAGUCGAUCAUAAAUCUAAGCACAAACAGACAAAAGGAAGUGCGGUCUUGUGGUUGCUAAGGAAACUGCUUGUUACGGACUUGUGGGUUAUCAGUGAGUAUCUUGUGGUGUUUUUUUAGCGGUUGGACUUUUUCAUAAAUCCGUGUACGAAUUGAAAUUGUAUUAAGUGUGGGUUGAUGUAUUAUCACAAUAUGGUUGAUGAACGGGGUGGAUCUUCACCAUGCAACUUAUAUGAAGGGUCAUGAAUACUUCUAUUCCAACUGAAUGACUUGUGAUAUCAAUACCUUGUGCUAUCUGAGCUAUAAACAUGUUGUGAUUUGCUUGAGUAGUUGGGAUGGUUGGAGACUCUAUGGAUUGUUAAAGUAGUGACUUGAGGUUGUAAAAGAAAAUUUAACUCACAGAAGAGACGACAAGUAUUGUGAUCCUGGCAGCAUCGAAUGAGGAUUGUUCCUUUUAAGGGUUGAUCUCCUUAUUCAAUCGGCCAACUCUUGGAUCAUUUUUUUAAACUAAGUUCUACAUGUUUUGAGCAAUUUGGCAUAUUUUUAUGUGCCUUACCUUACCCAAUGUUGUGAGAUCGGUGUAUUAUCUUUCUUCGUAAUGUGUACUUUGGGUUGGUGUGUAAUCUUCAGCGGUAUGAAAUUUCGAGGACGAAAUUUUUAUAAGGAGGGGAGAUUGUUACGUCCCGUAUCUUAAAGUACCAGUUUACUAGUUAUUUGCCCGGUAAACGGCAAUUACUUUCACUUUUACUGUCGUUUCGGUACUUUUAGUGGCCCUAAAAGUUGACUUUUAGUUCGGGUCAAAAUUUGAGAAAAUUUUCUUCAUGAAAAUUGUAGAGGACGUUAAACCGAGCGCGUGCAUAUGUGGUACGUAUAAAUUGGAGUUUGUAUGCCAAAGUUAUGAGUAUUUUUGUGUGAGGGGUAUUUUGGUCAUUUCAUCACACCUUAAUUAUAAGGGGCUGAUCAGCCCCAUUUCCAGCCAUUCUCCCCAUCCUUCACGACAGAAACCAGAAAGAAAAAAGAGAGAGAGAGAGAGAGAGAGAGAAAGAAAGAAAGAAAGAAAGAAAGAAAGAGAUCUUCCGGUGCGGAUUCCGGCAAUUUCCGGCAGCAAAAAUGUUCUUGUUGUUUUCUGGCUUGGUGGUAGUUGAAAGAAGUGUUAAGGAUGUUGAGAUGAAGCCGCUGUCAAAAUUUGGUAACCAUCGGAGGAGUUGGCCGACGAGUGAACAGUGCCGCCGAGUGAACAGUGCGGGUGACGUAUCAAAUUACUACUGAGUGAAGGAGCUCUUAUGCGUGGUUGCCUAAAUAGUACUUUUGCAGGCUAGAUUAGUUGAGGUCGGGCGUACAUGGAGUCGAGGCAUAGCCAACAGCAUUGCUUCCGCGUACUCAUUCUAUUUCUGUUUUCUGUGAUACCUAAUAGAUUAAUAUUGCUCUGAUAAGCUGUGGGAUUAAUAUUGUUUUUGGGUUGAGACUGUUAUUUGAGAAAUUGAAGUUGUGAUUUGGGGAGCAGGUGGCUCCAGGAGUAUAAGGUUGGUUUGUUUGAA